UACGUAGGGGGCAAGCGUUGUCCGGAAUUAUUGGGCGUAAAGAGCGUGUAGGCGGCCAAGCAGGUCCGCUGUGAAAACUCGAGGCUCAACCUCGAGACGUCGGUGGAAACCGUUUGGCUAGAGUCCGGAAGAGGAGAGUGGAAUUCCCGGUGUAGCGGUGAAAUGCGCAGAAAUCGGGAAGAACACCCGUGGCGAAGGCGGCUCUCUGGGACGGUACUGACGCUGAGACGCGAAAGCGUGGGGAGCGAACAGG
RNAcentral lists this ribosomal RNA (253 nucleotides) under uncultured bacterium. RNAcentral's name for it is "partial 16S ribosomal RNA". It matches the Rfam family "Bacterial small subunit ribosomal RNA", at positions 524 to 776 of the family's 1533-position model. The record is from RNAcentral.